Molecule: ribosomal RNA, 424 nt
Filed under: uncultured bacterium
Lineage: Bacteria
Description: bacterial SSU rRNA
Rfam family: Bacterial small subunit ribosomal RNA
Source: RNAcentral
AUGCAGUCGACGCCCUCUUCGGAGGGAGUGGCAGACGGGUGAGUAACACGUGGGAACGUACCCUUCGGUUCGGAAUAACUCAGGGAAACUUGUGCUAAUACCGAAUACGUCCGAGAGGAGAAAGAUUUAUCGCCGAAGGAUCGGCCCGCGUUUGAUUAGCUUGUUGGUGAGGUAAUGGCUCACCAAGGCAACGAUCAAUAGCUGGUCUGAGAGGAUGAUCAGCCACAUUGGGACUGAGACACGGCCCAAACUCCUACGGGAGGCAGCAGUGGGGAAUAUUGGACAAUGGGCGAAAGCCUGAUCCAGCCAUGCCGCGUGAGUGAUGAAGGCCCUAGGGUUGUAAAGCUCUUUUACUCGGGAAGAUAAUGACGGUACCGAGAGAAUAAGCCCCGGCUAACUUCGUGCCAGCAGCCGCGGUAAUACG